AUUGCUUUUAAUGAUGAUGAAGUUCAACCUUAAUAUUGUGAAAACUGAAGUUGUUAUAUUUCGAGGCGGUCCUGCUAUAUCAUUAAAACUUGCCUUCUUUUACGGUAGAAAUUGUAUAUAGAUGGUUGAUUCCUAUACUUAUCUUGGAAAUAACA
Haliotis rubra (blacklip abalone) is the source of this 155-nucleotide long non-coding RNA. RefSeq lists it as uncharacterized. Lineage: Eukaryota; Metazoa; Mollusca; Gastropoda; Lepetellida; Haliotidae. The record is from RefSeq and is a predicted model, not a curated record. The transcript is spliced from 4 exons.